This 1775-nucleotide long non-coding RNA is filed under the name Marmota monax (woodchuck). Lineage: Eukaryota; Metazoa; Chordata; Mammalia; Rodentia; Sciuridae. The record is from RNAcentral.
ACCAUUUCUAAAAAAGAUUUAAAAAUUGAGUAAUUAUUUAACCUUAAGCAUAUGGCUCCAUGAGUUUUGAAAAAUAUUCACAUAUGUGCAUCGCACGCCCAGGUGGGAAUAGGGGUCAAGGGUCACUUUCUCCCAUAAGGAUGUCCCUUUGCUCCUAUACCAUUUGCUGGCAAGUCUUGUCCCUGUGAAAUUGCUGUGAUGUCUUUGUAAAGAAAUCACUGACUAUGUAGAUGUGGGUCUGUCUCUGGACUCUUCUAUUUCUACCCUAUGCCAAGGCCAUAUGCUUUUAGCUUAUUUAUUUUUCUCUCUGUGUGUUGGGGAUGGAGCCUGGGGCUGUGUGCAUGCUAGGGAAGUGGUCCGACAGACUUGGACCACAGAUCUAUUUCUAUCUUUUAUUGGAUGAGCUUUCUUUGACUUCUUAUUUUUAACUUAACAUAUUUUAUUUCAACUCCUCCUUUGGUGUUUUCUCAAAAAUAUACCAUGUACACAUAAUGUAUACAUAUUUAAAAUAAUACCUACAUAAGUUUACAUUUUUAGUCUCCUGGUAAAUAAUAUGCAGACCCUGGCGCAAUUUGGUUUUCCUCAAAAUGUUCCCCUCCCAUUCUCCAUGCAACUUGUUUCCUAGAAUUAUUUAAAAACCAGGUCAUUAAACUACUUACAAGUAGUGAAUAAUUACAUUUUCCAAGUAAUUACACAAUUUGCAGUCAAUGUGUAUUUAGAUUUUUGAACCAAUAUUUGCCAUUUUAUGUCCUUACUAAUGUUUCUAGUCUUACACACUCUAUUUUAUCAAGUCCACUCUCUGACACUUCUUUCAGGGAGGGACUGUGAAGAGGAAUUCUUGUUUGUCUCUAUUUUUAAAAGCAAAUUUCAGCCCAGAAUUGUAUACCCAAAUGACCCCAAAUCAGGAGCUGUUCCAUUUCUAAGGUCUGGUUCCUGAAGAAUUUAACUUGUCCAGAUCUUCACAAGGGCCAUGCAUUUUGAUUUCUGCUUUCUACUGGGGCUAAGUUCCCAGUGGCCCCUGGAACAUUUUGUCUGUUGCUUUCUGAUUAGGCGCUGUGGUUUUUAAACGUGAGUGCUAUUCGGCACGUGUUUGGGCCUCCACCAUGAGCAGGGGUGGUUUGAGUCAGAGAAAACAGCCUGGGUGCUGUCCUGGUGCAGCAGGGGCUUGGAGAGAAUGCCUGUGACUGUGGCCUUGGGAGGAAGCGGGGAGCUUGUGGAUGUGAUUUCAAGGGCAGGCCCUGACACACAGGGCCAGCAAGGAAUUGUGAGUUCAUGGUGUAAUGGAAACCCACAGACACAUUUUAAGCAGAAAAGUGACCUGAUAGACUUCCCUAACUUGGCAUUUACUGCUGUCUUUCUCUCUCUCUUUUUUUGUCCAGCUUCUUAGAACCCUUGGUGUUACUUUCACAUACUUAUGUCUGUUUCCACAGCUUCCAAGCAUUUACAUUCUGAGAAUGCUUUCCACAAUCUAAAUAAAGUCUCCAACAUUAGCCUGCAGACUAUAAGAAACCAUGUUAAGGUGCUUGCUUAACCCCGGGGUUAUAAAUUGCAUGACUCAUAGGAGGCAAAAAUAUAAUUUGCAUUAGAUUUGGCCAACUUUUGGUUAAAUUAAAAUACAUCAGGUAAUUAUUCAAGAAAUGCAUUGCAAGAAAAAGAGAUGAAGCAGGAGCCUAUAGAUUAAAAGAGUCCUAAAAGAAAUAUUUACAGUCACAAUAUAGAGACUUUAUUUGGAAUUAUGAUUUAAACUUAAAAAAUAAAGCAUUAUUGGAACAAGA